RNAcentral lists this ribosomal RNA (475 nucleotides) under uncultured bacterium. RNAcentral's name for it is "partial 16S ribosomal RNA". It matches the Rfam family "Bacterial small subunit ribosomal RNA", at positions 28 to 507 of the family's 1533-position model. The record is from RNAcentral.
GAUGAACGCUCGCGGCAGGCCUAACACAUGCAAGUCGAGGGAUAAGCCUUCGGGCUAAGACCGGCGCACGGGUGCGUAACGCGUAUACAAUCUGCCUUUUAUCCGGGGGAUAGCCCGAAGAAAUUUGGAUUAAUACCCUAUGGUAUAAGAGCACGGCAUCGUGCACUUAUUAAAGCUACGGCGGUAAAAGAUGAGUAUGCGUUCUAUUAGCUAGUUGGAGAGGUAACGGCUCCCCAAGGCGACGAUAGAUAGGGGUUCUGAGAGGGAUGUCCCCCACACUGGUACUGAGAUACGGACCAGACUCCUACGGGAGGCAGCAGUGAGGAAUAUUGGACAAUGGUCGGUAGACUGAUCCAGCCAUGCCGCGUGCAGGAUGACGGCCUUAUGGGUUGUAAACUGCUUUUGUAAGGGAAGAAUAAGGAGUACGUGUACUUUGAUGACGGUACCUUACGAAUAAGCAUCGGCUAACUCCGUG